Molecule: long non-coding RNA, 856 nt
Filed under: Vulpes vulpes (red fox)
Lineage: Eukaryota; Metazoa; Chordata; Mammalia; Carnivora; Canidae
Description: lncRNA (ENSVVUG00000021981.1)
Source: RNAcentral
CCACACUGUUAAUCAGAAAGGGUGGCUUCUGGUUCUGAUACGUCUGUUGUUUUUUUUUUUUCAGAGGUGAACACUGGAAAAACAUGACUGACUCUGUGCAACUUGGAAAAGGAAAAGUCAUCAGCAAGUCCCAUCCUCACCACACACAAACACGUCACAGAGAGGGCAAAGCUGGAGGUGUUGUUGUUGACAGAAACAUUGUAAGCAGAGAAGGUGAAUCAAUCCAUGGAGUAUCCCUAUCACACUGGAUGAAGCUCAGAAUUGGCCUAAAGAAAAUGGAAGUGAGAAACACACAGGCCGGUCAGAGGCACACAGCUGCCUUCUCUCCCAGCUGACUUUGGGCAACCACACCAAGGCAAAGCCAGAGGAACCAAGAAAGGUAGGGACGCAGGGCCCCAGCAGUUGUGGGUCUCUGUGAGCUGUAGGGGAUGUGCAAACAGAUGGAGGUCAGUCUAUCAGGCACUGAGAACAAGGUCCCCAAGUGUCCCUUUCCUUGUCUCUGUCUCCUGUCCCGAGAAAAUCACCUCCAGCCCCUGCCAUCCAGGGCACCUCAUAUCUCAUUUAAUAUACAUUUCCUGUCACACACUCACAAAGAGAUUCCAAGUUAACUGCUCUUUACUGAGUGGCUAGUCCGUGCCAGGCAUUGCACUAACAACUCCCCUGGACUUUACCUUCCGUAACUCUCACAACAGAUCCUCAGUGGUGGUCACUGGCAUAACCACAGUGUAAAGAUGAGGAAACCAAGGCCCACAAAGGUUAAUUACUCUGUCCCAAACUGCACAGCUAUAAAUUCAAGACUAUCCCUGUCUGCCAACCACUCCUCCUCUUCUCUAAUAAAAUGAAUGAGACGGAAACA